RNAcentral lists this ribosomal RNA (253 nucleotides) under uncultured bacterium. Its description in RNAcentral is "partial 16S ribosomal RNA". It matches the Rfam family "Bacterial small subunit ribosomal RNA", at positions 524 to 776 of the family's 1533-position model. The record is from RNAcentral.
UACGUAGGGUGCAAGCGUUGUCCGGAAUUAUUGGGCGUAAAGAGCUCGUAGGCGGUUUGUCGCGUCUGCUGUGAAAACCCGAGGCUCAACCUCGGGCCUGCAGUGGGUACGGGCAGACUAGAGUGCGGUAGGGGAGAUUGGAAUUCCUGGUGUAGCGGUGGAAUGCGCAGAUAUCAGGAGGAACACCGGUGGCGAAGGCGGUUCUCUGGGCCUGUUCUGACGCUGAGGAGCGAAAGCGUGGGGAGCGAACAGG